UCGAACGGCAGCACAGUUCUAGUUUACUAGAAUGGGUGGCGAGUGGCGGACGGGUGAGUAACGCGUAGGAAUCUACCCAAAAGUGGGGGACAACUCGAGGAAACUCGAGCUAAUACCGCAUACGCCCUACGGGGCAAAGCCGGGGACCUUCGGGCCUGGCGCUUUUGGAUGAGCCUGCGUUGGAUUAGCUAGUUGGUAGGGUAAAGGCCUACCAAGGCUACGAUCCAUAGCUGGUCUGAGAGGAUGACCAGCCACACUGGGACUGAGACACGGCCCAGACUCC
RNAcentral lists this ribosomal RNA (283 nucleotides) under uncultured bacterium. RNAcentral describes it as "partial 16S ribosomal RNA". It matches the Rfam family "Bacterial small subunit ribosomal RNA", at positions 62 to 339 of the family's 1533-position model. The record is from RNAcentral.